GAGUUUGAUCCUGGCUCAGGAUGAACGCUAGCGGCAGGCCUAAUACAUGCAAGUCGAGGGGUAACAGGAAGUGCUUGCACUUCGCUGACGACCGGCGCACGGGUGAGUAUCGCGUAUACAAUCUGCCUCAUACUAGGGAAUAGCCCGAAGAAAUUUGGAUUAAUGCCCUAUAGUAUCUUUUUAAGGCAUCUUAUUAAGAUUAAAGGUUACGGUAUGAGAUGAGUAUGCGUUCUAUUAGCUAGUAGGUGUGGUAACGGCACACCUAGGCUACGAUAGAUAGGGGCCCUGAGAGGGGGAUCCCCCACACUGGUACUGAGACACGGACCAGACUCCUACGGGAGGCAGCAGUAAGGAAUAUUGGUCAAUGGACGAAAGUCUGAACCAGCCAUGCCGCGUGCAGGAUGACUGCCCUAUGGGUUGUAAACUGCUUUUAUAUAGGAAGAAAAACUUUCUCGUGAGAAAGCUUGACGGUACUAUAAGAAUAAGGAUCGGCUAACUCCGUGCCAGCAGCCGCGGUAAUACGGAGGAUCCAAGCGUUAUCCGGAAUCAUUGGGUUUAAAGGGUCCGUAGGUGGACAAAUAAGUCAGAGGUGAAAUCCUGCAGCUCAACUGUAGAACUGCCUUUGAUACUGUUUGUCUUGAGUUAUUAUGAAGUGGUUAGAAUGUGUAGUGUAGCGGUGAAAUGCAUAGAUAUUACACAGAAUACCGAUUGCGAAGGCAGAUCACUAAUAAUUAACUGACACUGAUGGACGAAAGCGUGGGUAGCGAACAGGAUUAGAUACCCUGGUAGUCCACGCCGUAAACGAUGGUCACUAGCUGUUUGGACUUCGGUCUGAGUGGCUAAGCGAAAGUGAUAAGUGACCCACCUGGGGAGUACGUUCGCAAGAAUGAAACUCAAAGGAAUUGACGGGGGCCCGCACAAGCGGUGGAGCAUGUGGUUUAAUUCGAUGCAACGCGAAAAACCUUACCUACUCUUGACAUACUUGGAAGCUUUUGUAAUGAAAGUGUGCCUAUUGGAACCAAGAUACAGGUGCUGCAUGGCUGUCGUCAGCUCGUGUCGUGAGAUGUUCCGUUAAGUCGGAUAACGAGCGCAACCCUUACCCUUAUUUGCCAGCGAUUAGGUCGGGAACUAUAAGGGGACUGCCGGUGAUAAACCGGAGGAAGGUGAGGACGACGUCAAGUCAUCAUGGCCCUUACGAGUAGGGCUACACACGUGCUACAAUGGGGAAUACAGACGGACGCUAAGCCGCGAGGUGGUGCUAAUCCUAGAAAGUUUCUCGUAGUCCGGAUUGGAGUCUGCAACUCGACUCCAUGAAGUCGGAAUCGCUAGUAAUCGCGAAUCAGCAUGUCGCGGUGAAUACGUUCUCGGGUCUUGCACACAC
Molecule: ribosomal RNA, 1381 nt
Filed under: uncultured bacterium
Lineage: Bacteria
Description: bacterial SSU rRNA
Rfam family: Bacterial small subunit ribosomal RNA
Source: RNAcentral